UACGUAGGGUGCGAGCGUUAAUCGGAAUUACUGGGCGUAAAGGGUGCGCAGGUGGUUUAUCAAGCCAGAUGUGAAAUCCCCGGGCUUAACCUGGGAAUGGCAUUUGGGACUGAUAGACUAGAGUACGGCAGAGGGGGGUAGAAUUCCACGUGUAGCAGUGAAAUGCGUAGAGAUGUGGAGGAAUACCGAUGGCGAAGGCAGCCCGCUGGGUUGAUACUGACACUCAAGCACGAAAGCGCGGGUAGCAAACAGG
This 253-nucleotide ribosomal RNA is filed under the name uncultured bacterium. RNAcentral describes it as "partial 16S ribosomal RNA". It matches the Rfam family "Bacterial small subunit ribosomal RNA", at positions 524 to 776 of the family's 1533-position model. The record is from RNAcentral.